GUCGGAAUCGUGACCCUGGAAGCGCAGACGGUGACCCUGAAUACUGAGCUGCCGGGCCGGACCAAUGCGUUCCGCAUCGCCGAGGUGCGUCCCCAGGUGAACGGCAUCAUCCUCAAGCGCCUGUUCAAGGAAGGCAGCGACGUCAAGGCCGGGCAGCAGCUCUACCAGAUCGA
Molecule: non-coding RNA, 173 nt
Filed under: Pseudomonas aeruginosa
Lineage: Bacteria; Pseudomonadati; Pseudomonadota; Gammaproteobacteria; Pseudomonadales; Pseudomonadaceae
Source: RNAcentral